This 542-nucleotide ribosomal RNA is filed under the name uncultured bacterium. RNAcentral describes it as "bacterial SSU rRNA". It matches the Rfam family "Bacterial small subunit ribosomal RNA", at positions 395 to 929 of the family's 1533-position model. The record is from RNAcentral.
UGCCGCGUGUAUGAAGAAGGCCUUCGGGUUGUAAAGUACUUUCAGCGGGGAGGAAGGGAGUAAAGUUAAUACCUUUGCUCAUUGACGUUACCCGCAAAAAAAGCACCGGCUAACUCCGUGCCAGCAGCCGCGGUAAUACGGAGGGUGCAAGCGUUAAUCGGAAUUACUGGGCGUAAAGCGCACGCAGGCGGUUUGUUAAGUCAGAUGUGAAAUCCCCGGGCUCAACCUGGGAACUGCAUCUGAUACUGGCAAGCUUGAGUCUCGUAGAGGGGGGUAGAAUUCCAGGUGUAGCGGUGAAAUGCGUAGAGAUCUGGAGGAAUACCGGUGGCGAAGGCGGCCCCCUGGACGAAGACUGACGCUCAGGUGCGAAAGCGUGGGGAGCAAACAGGAUUAGAUACCCCGGUAGUCCACGCCGUAAACGAUGUCGACUUGGAGGUUGUGCCCUUGAGGCGUGGCUUCCGGAGCUAACGCGUUAAGUCGACCGCCUGGGGAGUACGGCCGCAAGGUUAAAACUCAAAUGAAUUGACGGGGGCCCGCACAAG